This 253-nucleotide ribosomal RNA is filed under the name uncultured bacterium. Its description in RNAcentral is "partial 16S ribosomal RNA". It matches the Rfam family "Bacterial small subunit ribosomal RNA", at positions 524 to 776 of the family's 1533-position model. The record is from RNAcentral.
UACAGAGGUCUCAAGCGUUGCUCGGAAUCACUGGGCGUAAAGGGUGCGUAGGCGGCUUGGUAAGUUGGGUGUGAAAGCCCCGGGCUCAGCCCGGGAAGGGCACUCGAAACUGCCGAGCUGGAGUGCCGGAGGGGAGAGUGGAAUUCCUGGUGUAGCGGUGAAAUGCGUAGAUAUCAGGAGGAAUACCGGUGGCGAAAGCGACUCUCUGGACGGCAACUGACGCUGAGGCACGAAAGCGUGGGGAGCAAACAGG